RNAcentral lists this transfer RNA (71 nucleotides) under Marmota monax (woodchuck). RNAcentral's name for it is "tRNA.Ser". Lineage: Eukaryota; Metazoa; Chordata; Mammalia; Rodentia; Sciuridae. The record is from RNAcentral.
GGGGUUGUGGCUCAGUGGUACAGCGUUCUCCUAGAACAUGCAAGGCCCUGGGUUUGAUCCUCAGCACCACA